AGCCAUGCCUAGUACGGCGAGUGAGCGGCAACAGCUCAAAUUUGAAAUCUGGCUCUUUCAGAGUCCGAGUUGUAAUUUGCAGAGGGCGCUUUGGCUUUGGCAGCGGUCCAAGUUCCUUGGAACAGGACGUCACAGAGGGUGAGAAUCCCGUACGUGGUCGCUAGCUAUUGCCGUGUAAAGCCCCUUCGACGAGUCGAGUUGUUUGGGAAUGCAGCUCUAAAUGGGAGGUAAAUUUCUUCUAAAGCUAAAUAUUGGCCAGAGACCGAUAGCGCACAAGUAGAGUGAUCGAAAGAUGAAAAGCACUUUGGAAAGAGAGUCAAACAGCACGUGAAAUUGUUGAAAGGGAAGCGCUUGCAGCCAGACUUGCUUGCAGUUGCUCAUCCGGGCUUUUGCCCGGUGCACUCUUCUGUAGGCAGGCCAGCAUCAGUUUGGGCGGUGGGAUAAAAGGUCUCUGACACGUUCCUUCCUUCGGGUUGGCCAUAUAGGGGGAGACGACAUACCACCAGCCUGGACUGAGGUCCGCGCAUCUGCUAGGAUGCUGGCGUAAUGGCUGUAAGCGGCCGUCUGACAAAAAAAAACAAAAA
This 584-nucleotide ribosomal RNA is filed under the name Curvularia sp. RNAcentral's name for it is "eukaryotic LSU rRNA". It matches the Rfam family "Eukaryotic large subunit ribosomal RNA", at positions 71 to 672 of the family's 3401-position model. Lineage: Eukaryota; Fungi; Ascomycota; Dothideomycetes; Pleosporales; Pleosporaceae. The record is from RNAcentral.